Solanum tuberosum (potato) is the source of this 113-nucleotide non-coding RNA. The record is from RefSeq and is marked provisional. Lineage: Eukaryota; Viridiplantae; Streptophyta; Magnoliopsida; Solanales; Solanaceae.
AUGACUUUAAGUCGCGUCUGGCCCGCCACAGCGGCACCCAGUCCACUACAGCGUCCCCGCUAGAGCGACCAAAAGUUCCGCUAAGGCGGGUUGCACGAGACAAAGAGUUAUUU